UGAAAUUAUCGCCGUCGUCGUUGUCUUCCGAUGG
Molecule: small RNA, 34 nt
Filed under: Arabidopsis thaliana (thale cress)
Lineage: Eukaryota; Viridiplantae; Streptophyta; Magnoliopsida; Brassicales; Brassicaceae
Description: ATSL141870
Source: RNAcentral